RNAcentral lists this ribosomal RNA (378 nucleotides) under halophilic archaeon. RNAcentral describes it as "bacterial SSU rRNA". It matches the Rfam family "Archaeal small subunit ribosomal RNA", at positions 153 to 530 of the family's 1478-position model. The record is from RNAcentral. Lineage: Archaea; Methanobacteriati; Methanobacteriota; Halobacteria; Halobacteriales.
CGGAUAUAACUCUCAGGCUGGAGUGCCGAGAGUUAGAAACGUUCCGGCGCUGUAGGAUGUGGCUGCGGCCGAUUAGGUAGAUGGUGGGGUAACGGCCCACCAUGCCGAUAAUCGGUACAGGUUGUUGAGAGCAAGAGCCUGGAGACGGUAUCUGAGACAAGAUACCGGGCCCUACGGGGCGCAGCAGGCGCAAACCUUUACACUGCACGACAGUGCGAUAGGGGGACUCCGAGUGUGAGGGCAUAUAGCCCUCGCUUUUCUGUACCGUAAGGUGGUACAGGAACAAGGACUGGGCAAGACCGGUGCCAGCCGCCGCGGUAAUACCGGCAGUCCAAGUGAUGGCCGAUAUUAUUGGGCCUAAAGCGUCCGUAGCAAUUC